Molecule: long non-coding RNA, 98 nt
Organism: Octopus sinensis (East Asian common octopus)
Lineage: Eukaryota; Metazoa; Mollusca; Cephalopoda; Octopoda; Octopodidae
Exons: 3
Source: RefSeq, a predicted model, not a curated record
GAGAUAAUAAAGAAAUGAAGAGCGGGAAAGUGUACUGGCCAGUGGUCAGUCAGGAUAAAUUGAUAGAAGGAAUGGGCAGGCGUGGGUUAUGGAGAGGG